This 3811-nucleotide long non-coding RNA is filed under the name Salmo salar (Atlantic salmon). Its description in RNAcentral is "lncRNA (ENSSSAG00000090968.1)". Lineage: Eukaryota; Metazoa; Chordata; Actinopteri; Salmoniformes; Salmonidae. The record is from RNAcentral.
CUCCACCGUUUUAAUGGUUUAAUUUCAUGUCUCAUCCCUGACUCACUCUUUUUCUUUAUUCUUCAUCUCUCGCUUCUCUCUCCAACCAUACUUCCUCUGUGAAGAGCUUGGGGGAUGCUGAAGUGCUCUUCAAAUGAAAGAGCGAUAUGGAGAUAGGAGGAGAGGUGGAUGGACAAAGAGAGGACAACAGAAUGAAAGAGAUAAGACUAGAGAGACAUAGGCAGAGAAAGUGAGUGAGGACAGAGAUGAAGAGUGAGAGAGAGACAGAAAGAGAAAGAGGGGGGCAAGAAAACAAUGCUGUGGCUAAUGUUCCACUAAAUGUGGUUGACAGGGACUACUGGCGUGGGAAAACACAAGGCUGGCCCUUCUGCUCAGGAAGAGACAGGACGGGAUGGUGCUCGCUGUUUCCUGGAUUUGGGAAUGCUGCGUCCCAGAUAGAACCUCUCUCCCAGCUCUCUGAUGCUUAUCUGGGAAAACAGAGUGAGUUCCUGCCCUCCUGAAGAAUAGCUAGUGGAGGACAGAGAGAUCCUGUUUGUAAAUCACACCAUGGGAAGAGGGCUUGUUAAAUGUGUUUUACACAGCAGUGUUAUCCUGUUGAUGUCCCUGCGCAUUGGUCUAUGUCACACACACACAGUAGAUGACCCUUUACUGUGCUGUUCUUAUGAGCAGCUGGGGUUGUACAUAGGGCUCAUGAGACACACUUCACCUGCCAUGUAUGAUGCCACCUCUCUCACAUGCACAUGUUGACAAUGUGACAGUUCUGCAUCAGUGCCACAGACUAGUGCCUGAGUGACAGGACACCAGGUUGUAUAUUUGCAAUACUUUCUCCUAACUAGCUGAUGACAAAUAUAGCGAGCUGGCGCCAUGCAUGUAGGCCAUGAAGCUGGACAUUUCAUAAGGUGAUAUAUCUUAUAUUUCGGAUAUGAUCGUCUCUCGGUUUCAGAGGCAGCCCCACAUGGUGUUCAAUGGAAGGCCUACGCUUUCUAAAAGGUCUGAGACGGCAGGUGGCCAGGGACUAUCCCAUCACUGCCACCAAAUGCAGCAGGGAGGUGUAGUAGACAAUGUGAAAUAGAGGGGGAAGUCUGUAUAAAUGUGGUUUAGUUCCUGUUGCAAUAUGCUCAGAGUCUAGUGUUAUAAUGCCUUGUGCAUUUGUACAGUGGUUUAAUAAUCUGGCCACAUCAAUAGAUACAAUUACCAUGAAAUGAAAAGAGAUAAUUAGAAGAAAGUACCUGCGAUUGACGUAAAAGGACGUGAUGACGGCCUAGAAUCGUAGGACGCGGAUAUGAUGUCACCACGGCAGUGUCGCUGUGGCGGUCUCUAUGGCGACGCCGCAGCAGUGACGCCACCCUGGCUCGUGGUGAGUGGGUGUGACCCGCCCCUUAGAGCCCCCCUCUCCCUCUCCGUGUGGGCGGCCCGGUGAGGAGAGAGCGAAACACGACACCCGAGAGAGAGGAACCGGGGGGAGGAGAAAGAGUAGCCACAGAGUACAGAAUGUUAGUGAGUGGAGGAAGAAAGAAAGUCUAAAGAGAGGCCGACUGCUAUUCUACAGAACGGUUAUUUUAGCGACGAUAUGUCAAACAACGGGGAAGAUGCGAUUGAGAUGGAGUAAACAACUCGACAGUUCGUGAAAGUAUAUGCAAACAAGGAAAGAAGGGUUUUCGGUUCGUGUGCUUGUCGGGACGGUUGACCGUGUUCCGCUGCACCUCGAACAGGACAAGCCCAAGUUGCCGUGGGACAAACAGCAGUGAGCUACAUCAACUGAAUGCGAUUCGGGAAAGUAACGUUACCUCGAUCGCUACAGUUGGGGAAGGGUGUAUUGGGAAAGAAAGUGGAAGCAAAGGGGCCCGCGAGUGGAGCAACGGUGGAAAGUUUAACGUUAGCUUGUUCCUCCCUCGUUUUUCCAAUCCGAACCAAAGGAAGAGCUCAGACUUUUCCUUCCACAAACGCUACUGACUUGAGAUCCAUCAAGCUCGCUAGCUAACGUUAACUAGCUUGCAACACUCAAAAUGAAAACCCCCGGAGAUUCGGGUGUGUGUGAUGUGUGUUGGCCUGAGAGGGGUUGAAUAAUGCAUAGAUCAUUGGAAAGGUAUUUAUAGGAAAGCAGAGUGAUUUAAAGUUUAAUGGCAGGCUUUACCAUCAGUGCUGUACAGCAUCAUACACGCUCACUCUCUCGCUUCCGCACUCUCUCUCUCUCAAUUGUUUGUCACUCUCUUUUCCUGUCUUCAGUAUACUGGCUAGCCUGUCUCCUUCACUUCUCACAUCUCUCCAUCCCUGUCUUUACGUCUCUCCCUCUUUUCCCUGUCCGUUAGCUGUCCAGCCUGUCAUAUUGUCCUUUCUCUCUGUCAGAUGAACAGCCUCUAGAGCUGUUAGCCAUGUAAAGCCAUUGAUAUUUAAUGUGAUGUGCUGGUCUCAACCAUUCACUGGGCCGCUGAGGUCUGAUCAGUGGAAGGUAGGCUGGAACUAGAAUACUGAAAGAAGGUUCAGGACGACGCAAUGCCUAGUACAGCGUCAUACAGCGUCAUACAGCGUCAUACAGCUUCAUACAGCUUCAUACUGCCAAAUGCUCAAAGCUGAUUUGAAAUAUAUUGUGAUUCGCCCAAUAAAUCAAAGCAGUGUGUUUGGGUUUAAUCUUGUGUUUAGGUGUGUCCCAAAAGGAAUAGCGGUGACCCAAUAGGUCCUGACCUGUUGUUGGGAAACACUCAUCUGUUUCUCCAUCCCUCUCUCCACGUUUUCUUCUCUGACAGUGUUCACUCCAGCCUUCCAUACGCCUUUUCUUUUUCUCACUACCUGUCUUUCCCCUCUCUCCAUCUCUCCCUCAUGUUUACAUUGCCCCACUACCUUCCUUUCUCCUCUCUCCAUCUCCCCUCCUCUUGCUCUCUUUCCUCCCUCCCUCAAAACGUCCAUCUCUCCCCACUUUCCCCUCUUCCUCGCUCUCUGCUGUUUACAUCCUCCCCUCCUCUCACUGACUGGUGUUAUAGGGGGACAUCAGUUGUAAGCUCCUUGCCCAAAUGGCCACUGACACACACACACACACACACACACACCGACACACACCGACACACACCGACACACACCGACACACAGAGAGAGCCCUGCUCUGGGUCACAAUACUUUUAUCCAGGGCCAUUUUUAGCAUCAGUCUGCUCUGUGAUUACGCAACAACACGCGGGUGGGCCGACACACACAGACCCCAGACACAGUUUAACACACACACACACACACACACACACACACACACACACACACACACACACACACACACACUAGGGCUGUGCAUUUUUCUCUUUCAAGAUAAUUGGUUCCGUAUCCUGAUACAUGCGCUCCAAUACGAUACAGUAACAAUACGUUUUAGUUUGAUUAAAGAGUCAUGGGAAAUUAUUCUUUGCACUAACAUUUUGUCAUAUAAACACAUUCAUUUUCCAUUCCAAAUUAAAAUCUGCUGCAGAUGGAGUUCAUGAGCUGGGCCUCUCUGAGCUGGGCCUCUCUGAGCUGGAUCUGUCUGAGCUGGGCCUCUCUGAGCUGGAUCUGUCUGAGCUGGAUCUGUCUGAGCUGGAUCUGUCUGAGCUGGGCCUCUCUGAGCUGGAUCUGUCUGAGCUGGGCCUCUCUGAGCUGGGCCUCUCUGAGCUGGAUCUGUCUGAGCUGGGCCUCUCUGAGCUGGGCCUCUCUGAGCUGGAUCUGUCUGAGCUGGGCCUCUCUGAGCUGGGCCUCUCUGAGCUGGGCCUCUCUGAGCUGGAUCUGUCUGAGCUGGGCCUCUCUGAGCUGGAUCUGUCUGAGCUGGAUCUGUCUGAGCUGGGCCUCUCUGAGCUGGGCC